GGGGAAGCCAGAGGGGACAAACCUUCACGUCCCAUUUACCGCAUCCCCCAAAAGCAACAAAACCGGCUAAUAUUUCUGGGGCUCUAGGAAUCCCAAUUUGUAAUCACUGACUCGCACGCUCUGGAGAGGUGGCUGGAGCCCCUAAUCUGGCUUCGAAGCCUUGGGCCAGCCUUAACCUCAACCUGGCCCGAGGCUCCUUACCUGACAGCGGAGCCCCGCGCACAGCUAAGUAGCCCAACGCGGGGAUUCUCUCCUGGCUCAUUAACGUGAGGCCUCCACCGGAUCCCCUAACCCAAAGCGAUCUCCAUAAGCCCCACCCCGUCCACGUCAGUCCCACCCACCUCUGAGAUCUUGACCUGCUCCAGUGGCCCUCCCAACCCCUGCCCCAUCCUGAGCGCAUGCCGUGCUGGAUGCAGUGACCCUGCCCCUGAGCCCUCCCUCAGAAGUAGACCUGCUCCCGCCCUCCAAGUCCCACCCCUCUGAAAACAUUUCAGUGGCCCAGGCCCCAGUUCUUGGCCUUGUUUCCAUUCCUUUCAUAAUCUCAGCCCAGUAUGCCCGCCCCAGGUUCAUCUAGACAAGGUCCCAGUUCCUCAGCACCACUCGCCCUCCCUUUUUCUCUUCAACACCAUAUCCUGUGUUUUUCUUUUUGUUUUAGACAGAGUCUCACUGUCGCCCAGGCUGGAGAGCAGUGUUGUGAUCAUGGCUCAAUGCAGCCUCAACCUCCUGGGCUCAAGCAAUCCUCCCACCUGAGCCUCCCAAGUAGCUGGGACUACAGAUGCGCACCACCACACCAAGAUAAUUUUUUUCUUUUUAAGAGACGAGGUCUCGCCAUUUUGGCUAGGCUGGUCUCGAACUCUUGACCUCAAGUGAUCCUCCCGCCUCGGCCUCCCAAAGUGCUGGGAUUACAGGCGUGAGCCACCCGGGACAGGCCUAACUCUUAACACAUUCCUCAACCCAUCUCUCUAAAGACCCGUCCCAGUCGUUAGGUUCGCUCAUCCCUGACCUCACCCCAGAAUACCUUAAGACUGCCUGCUCCAUCUCUGAAGCCCACCUGCAGCCUAGCCAUGGCCCUUCCCUAGUGGGUAAGAUCUGCUCCAACCCGAACCAGCCUACUAGAACUCUAGUCAACAAACCAUGCCCAAACUCUCACUAGGCCCCUUCACCAUCCAGGCCUCUUCUCAACACUUCCUCCCUAGCCUCUCCAGGAUCCCAUACUUGACUACCCAGCACCCCCUCUUUCCUUCCAGACCCACACUCUCUCUCCAGGCCUCUCCUCGCCCUCUAGACCACGCCCCCGUCACAAGCCCUGCCCUCACCAUAGGUCCCGCCCCAGCUCUAAGCUCGGCCCGUCCUCCUGGCCCUGCCCCAUUGCCAGGCCCUGCCCUCACACUCAAAGCCUCCUCCCAUCUUCCUAGUCCCGCCCCAAUUCCCUGACCAAUCUCUCCCCAGACCCCGCCUUCACCCCUCAGGCCCUUCCCGCGCCCUGCUCGAUCUGCCCCGCCCUAGGCUCCGCCCCCAUUCCAUCCUUGGACUUUCUCCAGGCCUCCUCUUGCCGCGCCACAGACUUGGCCUCCCUCAGGCCCCGAUCCAGACUCUGUCCCGAUCCUAGGCCCGGUCUCCUUCCAGGCCCCGCCCCCGCUCUAGGCUCAGCCUGCCUUCAAACCCUGCUGUAGACCCCGCCCCACCCUAAGCUCAGCCUUCGUCUAGGCCCCGCCCCAGGCCCUGCACCUCUAGGCUCGACCUCCCUCCAGGCCCCGCCCUGGGCUCCGCCCCCCAGCCCGCCCUCUCCCUGGGCCCCGCCCCACUCUAGACUGGGGCUCCCCUUAGGUCCCGCCCCAAUUCAGCUUGCCCUCCCUCCAGGCCCCGCAUCACUCCAGCUCGGCCUCCCUUCAGGCCAC
This 1898-nucleotide long non-coding RNA is filed under the name Pan troglodytes (chimpanzee). Its description in RNAcentral is "long non-coding RNA NONPTRT008172". The record is from RNAcentral. Lineage: Eukaryota; Metazoa; Chordata; Mammalia; Primates; Hominidae.